UACAGAGGUCCCAAGCGUUGUUCGGAUUCACUGGGCGUAAAGGGUGCGCAGGUGGUUUGGCAAGUUUGACGUGAAAGCCCCGGGCUUAACCCGGGAAUGGCGUUGAAAACUGCUUGAACUGGAGGAUUGGAGGGGAGACUGGAAUUCCUGGUGUAGCAGUGAAAUGCGUAGAUAUCAGGAGGAAUACCGAUGGCGAAGGCAGGUCUCUGGGCUGACACUGACGCUCAUGCACGAAAGCGUGGGGAGCAAACAGG
RNAcentral lists this ribosomal RNA (254 nucleotides) under uncultured bacterium. Its description in RNAcentral is "partial 16S ribosomal RNA". It matches the Rfam family "Bacterial small subunit ribosomal RNA", at positions 524 to 776 of the family's 1533-position model. The record is from RNAcentral.